GAUGAACGCUGGCGGCGUGCCUAAUACAUGCAAGUCGAACGAGGAACUUUAAUCUUCGGAUGGAAGUUUCCUAGUGGCGAACGGGUGAGUAACGCGUUGGUGACCUCGACCCCAAAGGUGGGGGAUAACAGUUCGAAAGGACUGCUAAUACCGCAUAAGAUCAAUGGGAUUAGAUGCCUGUUGAUUAAAGGCGAAAGUCGCUUUGGGAGGGGCCUGCGUCCCAUCAGCUUGUUGGCAGGGUAAUGGCCUACCAAGGCUAAGACGGGUAGGGGACCUGAGAGGGUGGCCCCCCACACUGGCACUGAAACACGGGCCAGACACCUACGGGUGGCAGCAGUAGGGAAUAUUGGACAAUGGGCGAAAGCCUGAUCCAGCAACGCCGCGUGCGCGAUGAAGGCCUUCGGGUUGUAAAGCGCUUUUAGGGGAGAUGAGAAAGGACAGUAUCCUCUGAAUAAGCCUCGGCGAACUACGUGCCAGCAGCCGCGUAAAGCUACGUAGA
RNAcentral lists this ribosomal RNA (499 nucleotides) under uncultured bacterium. Its description in RNAcentral is "bacterial SSU rRNA". It matches the Rfam family "Bacterial small subunit ribosomal RNA", at positions 28 to 531 of the family's 1533-position model. The record is from RNAcentral.